RNAcentral lists this ribosomal RNA (307 nucleotides) under uncultured eukaryote. Its description in RNAcentral is "partial 18S ribosomal RNA". It matches the Rfam family "Eukaryotic small subunit ribosomal RNA", at positions 1470 to 1796 of the family's 1831-position model. The record is from RNAcentral.
CCCUUAGACGUUCUGGGCCGCACGCGCGCUACACUGACACAGGCAACGAGCUUUCCUUUACCGAAAGGUAUGGGUAAUCUUUUGAAACUGUGUCGUGCUGGGGAUAGAUCCUUGCAAUUUUUGAUCUUAAACGAGGAAUUCCUAGUAAGCGCGAGUCAUCAACUCGCGUUGAUUACGUCCCUGCCCUUUGUACACACCGCCCGUCGCUACUACCGAUUGAAUGGCUUAGUGAGGCCUCAGGAUCCGCGCUUAAUGUGUGGAGAAUUUGGACAAACUGCGUCAUUUAGAGGAAGUAAAAGUCGUAACA